Molecule: ribosomal RNA, 507 nt
Filed under: uncultured bacterium
Lineage: Bacteria
Description: bacterial SSU rRNA
Rfam family: Bacterial small subunit ribosomal RNA
Source: RNAcentral
GAGUUUGAUCUUGGCUCAGAUUGAACGCUGGCGGCAGGCCUAACACAUGCAAGUCGGGCGGUAGAGAGAAGCUUGCUUCUCUUGAGAGCGGCGGACGGGUGAGUAAUGCCUAGGAAUCUGCCUGGUAGUGGGGGAUAACGCUCGGAAACGGACGCUAAUACCGCAUACGUCCUACGGGAGAAAGCAGGGGACCUUCGGGCCUUGCGCUAUCAGAUGAGCCUAGGUCGGAUUAGCUAGUUGGUGAGGUAAUGGCUCACCAAGGCGACGAUCCGUAACUGGUCUGAGAGGAUGAUCAGUCACACUGGAACUGAGACACGGUCCAGACUCCUACGGGAGGCAGCAGUGGGGAAUAUUGGACAAUGGGCGAAAGCCUGAUCCAGCCAUGCCGCGUGUGUGAAGAAGGUCUUCGGAUUGUAAAGCACUUUAAGUUGGGAGGAAGGGCAGUAAAUUAAUACUUUGCUGUUUUGACGUUACCGACAGAAUAAGCACCGGACUAACUCUGUGCCA